ACGCACGCUGGCGGCGUGCUUAACACAUGCAAGUCGAACGAAGAGCGAUGGAAGCUUGCUUCUAUCAAUCUUAGUGGCGAACGGGUGAGUAACGCGUAAUCAACCUGCCCUUCAGAGGGGGACAACAGUUGGAAACGACUGCUAAUACCGCAUACGAUCUAAUCUCGGCAUCGAGGAUAGAUGAAAGGUGGCCUCUACAUGUAAGCUAUCACUGAAGGAGGGGAUUGCGUCUGAUUAGCUAGUUGGAGGGGUAACGGCCCACCAAGGCGAUGAUCAGUAGCCGGUCUGAGAGGAUGAACGGCCACAUUGGGACUGAGACACGGCCCAGACUCCUACGGGAGGCAGCAGUGGGGAAUCUUCCGCAAUGGACGAAAGUCUGACGGAGCAACGCCGCGUGAGUGAUGACGGCCUUCGGGUUGUAAAGCUCUGUUAAUCGGGACGAAAGGCCUUCUUGCGAACAGUUAGAAGGAUUGACGGUACCGGAAUAGAAAGCCACGGCUAACUACGUG
Molecule: ribosomal RNA, 509 nt
Filed under: uncultured bacterium
Lineage: Bacteria
Description: partial 16S ribosomal RNA
Rfam family: Bacterial small subunit ribosomal RNA
Source: RNAcentral